Molecule: ribosomal RNA, 229 nt
Filed under: uncultured bacterium
Lineage: Bacteria
Description: partial 16S ribosomal RNA
Rfam family: Bacterial small subunit ribosomal RNA
Source: RNAcentral
UGCGUAGGCGGAUAGAUAAGUCAGAGGUGAAAGCCUCCCGCUCAACGGGAGAACUGCCUUUGAUACUGUUUAUCUUGAAUGAGGUUGAGGUUAGCGGAAUGUGACAUGUAGCGGUGAAAUGCAUAGAUAUGUCAUAGAACACCAAUUGCGUAGGCAGCUAGCUAGGCCUUUAUUGACGCUGAGGCACGAAAGCAUGGGGAGCGAACAGGAUUAGAUACCCUGGUAGUCC